UCUAUCAGCCGGCUAUCGUACCGUAUUAAAUGCGGUAAGGAAAGUCCGGACAGCAAAGAGCAACACACCGGUUAACAGCCGGCCCCCGCUUAAAAGCGGGGAGAGACAGUGCCACAGAAAAUAACUAUCCCGGCUUGCCGGGGCAAAGGUGAAAACGUGAGGUAAGAGCUCACGACAAAUAUUGGUAACAAUAUUUGUGGGUAAACCUUGUGUGCUGUAAUGCCAUGUAAACCCGGUGUCUUCGAAAGAAGAAAUAAAUGGCUCGUUUAUUAUUUUUGAUUUUUUCAGAAAUAACCGGAAGGGUAGGCAGCAAGAUUGCAACAGUAAUGUUGCAGCCAGAUAAAUGAUAGCCUCCCGGCUUGCCGGGAACAGAAUCCGGCUUAUGGCUGAUAGAUUUU
Molecule: RNase P RNA, 398 nt
Filed under: Bacteroidota bacterium
Lineage: Bacteria; Pseudomonadati; Bacteroidota
Description: Bacteroidetes bacterium (activated sludge metagenome) RNase P RNA component class A
Rfam family: Bacterial RNase P class A
About the family: Ribonuclease P (RNase P) is a ubiquitous endoribonuclease, found in archaea, bacteria and eukarya as well as chloroplasts and mitochondria. Its best characterised activity is the generation of mature 5'-ends of tRNAs by cleaving the 5'-leader elements of precursor-tRNAs.
Source: RNAcentral